AUCUUUUUCCUUUGGACAUGCCAACGUGAUGUAUGUUUGCUGAUGUAUAUUUUGAUUAUUUGUUUGUCUGAGCGUAUGGCAAUAUUAGAACUAAUUACUAUAGGAAUUUGUUCCCUGGACAUAAUAUAGGUAUAACUCUUUUUUGCCUAAUUUUAACACUUGUAACAUAAGAUCCAAGAUAAUUCGCAUGGUGAACAUGGAGGAAGCAGUGAUGCUAAAGAGUUUGCUGAAAAGCUGUCUGUAAGUUGAACUUACAUAGAUAAGCAAAUCUUGUAUAGUGAUAAUGGAGCUCCUUGUUUAGUUGCUUCAACUUCCAUAACUGAUUCAUAUCUCCAUUGGAGCUCCUUGUUCUAGUGCUUCAAGUUCUAGCCUAUUUACUUCUGGCAUGCAUGUUUUCUGUUUGAAUUCCUGUUCAUACGAAUGCAGCCAUCUGAGGACCUGCAAUUUUCAAAUUCUGUUGAUUCUCAGUCAUUAUUGAAUGACAUGAUUGAUGCGUCUAAAAAGGCUGGACCAUCUACAAAUGCUACUACUCAUGCUCAAUCUAAUUCUUUGUCAAAGGUUAGUGAAAAACCAAGUUCUUCUGGUGAACUCUCAAAUGGUCCAGCUUCUAGCAAAGUAACUGGUGAAACACAAUCUGUAAACUCCCAUGGAUGACCAGUUAGUUCUAUGUCAUCAAAUUCAGAUUGUAUUGGUGCUGUCUCAGCAUCUAGUGGCCCUGGUUUAUCACCAAGUUCAUCAGUGGGUUCAUUAUCUUCUGAGAAGUUGACACUGAAUCCCUACGCGAAGAUUGGACCCUCCUUUCUUGGACACCAGCCUGUUAUUUUCAACCCACAGGUGGCACCAGUACAAUUGCCACAAGCUUACUUUCAUCCAAAUGGACCUAAGGAAAGGCAAUAAUAUAAAUGACGGGAUUAUUAACCUGUUAGUUUUCUGACAGCAUUCUUGGGAGCUCUGCUCUGUUUUGCUAGCAAAGAAUAAACUUUUGAAAGACUGCUUGGGUCAAUUUUCUCGAAACAAAGCAUAGUUGUCCAAGAAAGAUUCUAUAUAGUCUUCAUCACCCUAUGUUCCAGGAGACGUGUACUCAUCAUGGGAGAUAAGUCUCAUUCACAUCGUCACUUAGGAUUUCUAACUUUUGUUGACUAACCUGUGCUUUUCUAAUUGGUUGUUUUAAUAUUGAUGAUAGAUUUGGAUCAAUCUGUGGUGCAAAUAUUCUAUAUUAUUUUCCUCUUAAUUUUUAUUUUAGUGGUUACUGUCGCCUGGGAUCUACCAAUGUAUUCCAUUGUUGGGUUAAGAAAGUGGAAGAGAUUGAUGCUAAUGAAUACUGUUCGUUAUGGCAAUAUGCCAAAUUCAUGAUGUGAACUUUGAUUAAA
Molecule: non-coding RNA, 1370 nt
Organism: Durio zibethinus
Lineage: Eukaryota; Viridiplantae; Streptophyta; Magnoliopsida; Malvales; Malvaceae
Source: RefSeq, a predicted model, not a curated record